This 251-nucleotide ribosomal RNA is filed under the name uncultured prokaryote. RNAcentral describes it as "partial 16S rRNA". It matches the Rfam family "Bacterial small subunit ribosomal RNA", at positions 525 to 775 of the family's 1533-position model. The record is from RNAcentral.
ACGGGGGGUGCAAGCGUUGUUCGGAAUUAUUGGGCGUAAAGAGCGUGUAGGCGGCUGAAUAAGUCAGAUGUGAAAUCCCUGGGCUUAACCAAGGAAGUGCAUUUGAAACUAUUCAGCUUGAGUAGGGGAGAGGAAAGUGGAAUUCCUGGUGUAGGGGUUAAAUUCGUAGAUAUCAGGAGGAACACCGGUGGCGAAGGCGACUUACUGGCUCUAUACUGACUCUGAGCCGCGAGAGCGUGGGGAGCAAACAG